Molecule: transfer RNA, 83 nt
Filed under: Plutella xylostella (diamondback moth)
Lineage: Eukaryota; Metazoa; Arthropoda; Insecta; Lepidoptera; Plutellidae
Description: tRNA-Glu
Source: RNAcentral
GCGCGGUGGUAGCUCAGUCGGGUAAGCGCCUGCUUCUCACGUCAGAAGGCAUCGGGAUGUGGGUUCGAAUCCCGGCACCGACA